AUGUAAUGCAACUAAUCUAUAUGCCUACGAAUCCAGCGGUAAUGACAUAAACAAGUCUAUUCAACCGGCCUUAGAGAAAUCAAGUAAACAUGAUAAUACAUCAUAUUAAAACAAAUCAGUAAUUUUCCAAUCAAUCAUCAAAUCUUAGACUGUUAUCACUGAUAUAGUGCGUGUGUGCUCCACAAAAAUGCUAACUGAUAUAAAAUCAAAUUUAACACAUAAUAGAUAUCUUCGAAGGCAUC
Molecule: long non-coding RNA, 242 nt
Filed under: Panax ginseng (ginseng)
Lineage: Eukaryota; Viridiplantae; Streptophyta; Magnoliopsida; Apiales; Araliaceae
Description: long non-coding RNA (PGIN_LNC014507)
Source: RNAcentral